CCUUCGAUAGCUCAGCUGGUAGAGCGGAGGACUGUAGAGUAUCUCAUGAGUCAUCCUUAGGUCGCUGGUUCGACUCCGGCUCGAAGGA
This 88-nucleotide transfer RNA is filed under the name Sphaerodactylus townsendi. RNAcentral's name for it is "tRNA-Tyr". It matches the Rfam family "tRNA". From Rfam's summary of the family: Transfer RNA (tRNA) molecules are approximately 80 nucleotides in length. Their secondary structure includes four short double-helical elements and three loops (D, anti-codon, and T loops). Lineage: Eukaryota; Metazoa; Chordata; Lepidosauria; Squamata; Sphaerodactylidae. The record is from RNAcentral.